GAAAAAUGUAAAUAAAUAUGGAACAAGCGACAGAAAGAAUAUUUCAGUUUAUGUAAAAAUAAUAUGAGUUUACGGUGCUACCUAGGGGUUAGAGGCGAGCUCUGUAAACAGCAGCUGAUGCUCUUUUAACUGAAAUAUACUUCUCAAAGUGAAAGAAUGGCUGAAUUAAUACAACUGAUGUGUAAAAUUUCCUCAUUUGAUCCACUGUCUGUGAUUAGACAUUUGACUGGAGAGAUUGUUAAUGACAGUGAGACCACCUGCACUGACAGCAUUGGGAAGAAAAUCAACAACAUCAACAUUCUCAGCAGCAUUCUGAAGAGUUUACACCUGGCCAGUGACAAUCACACAAUGGACAAGAUUGUUUCUGCAGAUAUACUAGAAAUAAUAUCUGGCAUUUGUUUUGCUUUAUUGCUUGAACUCCAACCCUCAUAUGAUGGAAGGGAAAAUACUUUGUCGUCAGUGGCUGCCAUUUGUGAUCUGCUAAUGGUGUGUAUGGAGAUUUGCCAGGAUGACCAAGUAAUAGUUGUUCUUAAAAAGUGUGAUCACUUCCUUGAUGUUUGGCUGGCUGAGCAACCUUGCAUACCUGAUCAGAAACACUCAAAAGAGCAAGGCAUCAUGGAUAUUAUUUGCACUGUAGAAAUUUACAAAACAGUGUUUUCUCUUGAAAGGUGUCGACUUAACACAAGUGACAUUUUUGAAAAGUGUUGUACUCUUUUUGACAGUUUAUUUUCAAAAGUUUUAAACAUCCUGCCACAUGUUCCCAAUAAGGUCAUCUCACGCAUUGUGUUUGGUGUUAUUGCUAAUUUACUGAAGCAGGAUCCUAACCAGGCUGUUUCUAGAAUGAGCAAAUUGUGGAACACUGUUGAGAGUUUUGUAGUUGCAGACAGAAUAGAUUUCAUUCAGCAGACUCUUCUCAUUCUUUGUAGUCUAGCAGAUUUUCUUUUCCCUGUUACUGGAGAACCUCUUGGCAUUCAUCUUAAAUGCUCAAACCACUUUUGGAUGAUUGUACAGCAAGCUAUGGUUCAUACAAACCCUCUCACAAGGAAGCGAGCCAUGUACCUGCUUAAGAGGAUCAUUGAUAUCUGUGAGAAGCAGUUUGCCGAUGUGUCUGCUGGUGCAUGUCCAGUUUUUGUUUGGAAGAAGGCCAGUGAAAAAGAAUUCUCCAAAACAUGGGAAGAUGUUGUGUUGAUUUUGGAAACUUUAGAAGAAAAGCAAGUUCAUGUGAUUAAGCCUCUGUUGGGAAGGAUGGAGUUCUUGCUGAAAGCGACAUUUUUACACAGUGGAGGUAACUGUCAAUUGAUAAAGGGGCCAUUCCAUGAUGUUCUUUACUAUCUGCACACAUCCUGGUUGGUGACUAUUUUCAAACGUUGUCUAAUGCACGAGAGUGUCUUUGUGAUAAAGUGGGCAGUGGAGACGAUUCUGAAUUUGGACUAUGACAUGGUUCCAUUGCUGACACAAGGUCAACACGAGUUUUUAUCAACAUCAUUUCUGCUGGCAUUUCAAGAGCUAAAAAUAUAUACACGGCAACAAGGUGUUUCUCGUGGCUCAAGUCCUUUUGUUGGCCCUGGACUGAUAAAUUUUUUCUCUUCAUGCAUUCGAGUUAUUCAAGAACCUAUGAGGCAAGCCAGUUUUCUCAAACAAGUUCUCAACACAAUCAUGUCAACUUCCUGGAGCUCUGUUCCUGUAAUGUUCUUCACUCAGGGCCUGUCCCACAUUCCACAAUCUUCUCUACUGGACAAAGAUGCCAUUUUCAUUAUCAAGGAUAUUGUUGUGUCUCGACUCACAACUAUGGAGCCUCAUGCUAAAGGCAUUGUGCAGUGUUUUCUUGUCCAGACAUUGAUUAACCUAAUAGAUCAGAAUCAAGUCAGUUUAGAAGAUUUUGUUGAUGUGAUAUCUAAAUUUGACAAAGACCUUUGUCUGCAAAGGGGCACAACACAAUGGAAACAAACUGUAGAUUGGCUAGAAAAAACAAGCACUACAGGCUGGUCUAGGCAGUCUGUACAGAAAACUGUAUUGUCCAUGGUCCAAGACUGUUUGCAAGUCAAAGAAGAUACAGAAAUCAACAUGGCUGACCAACUUAAAAUAGGUCAGAUUUCACGUCUGGUAUUACUUGCAGCAGAUGCAGGUAUCCUUGGAAACAAAUCAAACCCUGAAGAUGUAACUCUUGAUGACCUUCUGAAUCUGCUGACUGCUAUUAUUAACUCUGUCAGUUCGCAUGCCUAUAUGCCAAAGGUAAAGGCAGACAAGGCAGUUUACCUGUUAGCAGCCAUUUCUGAAGAGCAAGGGAAAGUAUGUGACAAUCCUGUCGACUCAAGUAUACAACAUGCUUUUUUUGUGUGUCAAAAAGAACUGUAUGACUACAUUGCAUCAAGAGUUAACAGUGACUAUUCAGAGAUAAGAGAUCUUUCACUGGUCAGUAUAUACACUGAAGUAAUACAGAUUUUCCACAAAUAUGCAAUGCCAGGAGAUGCUUGGUCUUCACGGUCCCUGACAGACCUCUGCACACGAUGUAUUCAAACUCUGAAGGUUGUGCAAAGUGUGGCUGAAAAAUCAUUGCAACAUCAGAUGCUGCAAAUUGCAGCCAUCAGUGUUCUGUCCACCGUCUGUCUACUGAUCGAUGAUGACAGUGAUGUUAAGAGUUGGCAGUCAGUUGCACAGUGUAUCUUUGAUUAUGUUAUCAGCAUGAAACUUGAUACAUCUUUUACCAAAGAAGAGGCUGUCACUGAUGAUGGAAAUGGUGAUGGAAAAAGAAACUGGGGAAAAGUUGUUUCUCGCUUUAUGACUGCUCAGUGGCAGCUUGUUUGUUUUUGUCUGAGAAGAUUGCCAUGCAGUGUUCCAGCAGAAUGUCUCUUUUAUAAAUGUCUAGAAGCUUUUGACACUGGAUCAUGGGAGUCAGACUUACCUGUCAUGGAUUGCCUAGCUGCUUUGUUGCCUCAGUUGUUGACAUGUAAUGUUAAACCAGAACAACUGACCAUGGCUAUUGAUUUAGCCUGGGUAAAGACAAAUGAGGAACAUCACACUGCUGGCUUCUGGCUUAAACUGAGAUCAUUUAUUAACAUGGCUUUUCAAAAUUCACUUCUACACCAACCAAAAGAUUCCAUUAUUUUACAACAUUUACUGAAGUAUGCACGCAAAUUGUUUUCAUUUGGAGAUGACAAGACUGGUGUUUUAAACUUAUUGGUUGAGAAACUCUGUGAUGUGUGGCACUCUCUGGAUGGCAUCUUCAUAGCUGAGAAACUUAUUACUCUUUUAACUGAUGCCUGCAUUUUUGGUGAAAUCUACAAAAAGGCUGACAACCUCUUCCCUGAUGUUUGGGCAUAUUUUGUGACAUUGCAGGAUGAAGUGGCAGUCAAUGAAAUUCUUCCAAGAUUGAAAAGGAAUGGUCUUGUUGUGCGCAGCAUGAUUGUGAAUUUUCUCAUUCGACUGAGACCUGAAGAUAGCAAGCACACUGAUCUGGCAAUGAGUUUGUGGAAGGAGUUGGUACAGCGCUAUCAGCUACUUGUGGAUGAUACAGUUUACAGGCAGUAUAACAAUUCACUGAGUCAUCGAUGCAAGCAUCGCAUUUUUCAAAUACUGCUAUUAAUGGAACCAUUUAUUUCAGAGGAUAACAGGGUUGAAUGCUGGUCGUUCAUCUGGAAGUCAUUAGUUACUGAAGUUCAUCCAUCAGUCCGUCACAUGCAGGAAUGGCUUGUGCUUCGACUUGCUCUUAGAUUUCCGACAUUUGUUGAUGAUUUGUGGAUAUAUUUUGAUGAAUUUUCAGAAAGAAGGAAUUUGAGUUUAACAUCUUUAAUUACGAUUGUUUCUCACCUGGGACCACACCUGCCAAAAUCAUUGCAGUUACUACAUGAAAGCCAUCCCUACAGUGAUACCCUGGUGCAUGGCUCAUCAUUUCAACACACGUCUUCAUGCUCAAGUGACCAUCAUAAAACUGUGGAAUCAGUGCAUUGCUGUAGAACUUGAUGAUGUCACAUCUGCUUUCAGCAUUGUGAAAACAUUCAUGUGCUUCAACACAGAGAACAACAACACAAUGAAAAAUGUUAAAAAGUUAUUUGAAAAUUACUUCAUAAAAACUUUUGAUUUUGUACGGGACUACAGCCUUGAG
This 4102-nucleotide unclassified non-coding RNA is filed under the name Gigantopelta aegis. Its description in RNAcentral is "probable methyltransferase TARBP1, transcript variant X2". Lineage: Eukaryota; Metazoa; Mollusca; Gastropoda; Neomphalida; Peltospiridae. The record is from RNAcentral.